RNAcentral lists this ribosomal RNA (148 nucleotides) under uncultured bacterium. RNAcentral describes it as "partial 16S ribosomal RNA". It matches the Rfam family "Bacterial small subunit ribosomal RNA", at positions 340 to 479 of the family's 1533-position model. The record is from RNAcentral.
UACGGGAGGCAGCAGUAGGGAAUCUUCCACAAUGCACCCAAGUCUGAUGGAGCAACACCGCGUGAGUGAAGAAGGCUUUCGGCUCGUUGAACUCUGUUGUCGGAGAAGAUAUGGUCGGCAGAGUAACUGUUGUCGGCGUGACGGUAUC